UCAAACUUGGUCAUUUAGAGGAAGUACAAGUCGUAACAAGGUAUCCGUAGGUGAACCUGCGGAUGGAUCAUUACCGAGUGAUUUUGUUUGUAAUGUGAAUUGUUGAUUGUUUGGUUGGUGGGUUUUGUUUUUGGUGUAUUGAUUUACUUUGGUACAUUGAUGUUCCUUGGUACAUUGAUGUUCCUUACUAUAUCGAUGUCCCUUUGUAUAUCGAUGCCCAUACAUCAAAACCACCAGCCUUUGUACGUACACUAUGCAAGCCUGAGUCCAUUCACUGAAUGAUAAAACAACUUUUAGCAAUGGAUCUCUUGGCUCUCGCAUCGAUGAAGAACGCAGC
Molecule: unclassified non-coding RNA, 337 nt
Filed under: uncultured fungus
Lineage: Eukaryota; Fungi
Description: partial contains small subunit ribosomal RNA, internal transcribed spacer 1, and 5.8S ribosomal RNA
Rfam family: Eukaryotic small subunit ribosomal RNA (bases 1-73)
Source: RNAcentral